GAUGAACGCUAGCUACAGGCUUAACACAUGCAAGUCGAGGGGAAACGAUAUUGGAAGCUUGCUUCCGAUAGGCGUCGACCGGCGCACGGGUGAGUAACGCGUAUCCAACCUGCCCACCACUUGGGGAUAACCUUGCGAAAGUAAGACUAAUACCCAAUGAUAUCUCUAGAAGACAUCUGAAGGAGAUUAAAGAUUCAUCGGUGAUGGAUGGGGAUGCGUCUGAUUAUCUUGUUGGCGGGGCAACGGCCCACCAAGGCGACGAUCAGUAGGGGGUCUGAGAGGAAGGUCCCCCACAUUGGAACUGGGAACCGGUCCAAACUCCUACGGGAGGCAGCAGUGAGGAAUAUUGGUCAAUGGGCGAGAGCCUGAACCAGCCAAGUAGCGUGCAGGAUGACGGCCCUAUGGGUUGUAAACUGCUUUUAUAAGGGAAUAAAGUGAGUCUCGUGAGACUUUUUGCAUGUACCUUAUGAAUAAGGACCGGCUAAUUCCGUGCCAGCCGCCGCCGUAA
This 508-nucleotide ribosomal RNA is filed under the name uncultured bacterium. RNAcentral describes it as "partial 16S ribosomal RNA". It matches the Rfam family "Bacterial small subunit ribosomal RNA", at positions 28 to 523 of the family's 1533-position model. The record is from RNAcentral.